RNAcentral lists this ribosomal RNA (440 nucleotides) under uncultured bacterium. Its description in RNAcentral is "partial 16S ribosomal RNA". It matches the Rfam family "Bacterial small subunit ribosomal RNA", at positions 338 to 795 of the family's 1533-position model. The record is from RNAcentral.
CCUACGGGUGGCAGCAGUAGGGAAUAUUGCUCAAUGGGGGAAACCCUGAAGCAGCAACGCCGCGUGGAGGAUGAAGGUUUUCGGAUUGUAAACUCCUUUUGUUAGAGAAGAUAAUGACGGUAUCUAACGAAUAAGCACCGGCUAACUCCGUGCCAGCAGCCGCGGUAAUACGGAGGGUGCAAGCGUUACUCGGAAUCACUGGGCGUAAGGAGCGCGUAGGCGGGAUAGCAAGUCAGAUGUGAAAUCAUAUGGCUUAACCAUAGAACUGCAUUUGAAACUGUUAUUCUAGAGUAUGGGAGAGGUAGGUGGAAUUCGUGGUGUAGGGGUGAAAUCCGUAGAGAUCAAGAAGAAUACUGAUUGCGAAGGCAACCUGCUAGAACGUAACUGACACUGAUGUUCGAAAGUGUGGGGAGCAAACAGGAUUAGAUACCCGGGUAGUC